RNAcentral lists this long non-coding RNA (1414 nucleotides) under Ananas comosus (pineapple). RNAcentral's name for it is "long non-coding RNA (ACOM_LNC014808)". Lineage: Eukaryota; Viridiplantae; Streptophyta; Magnoliopsida; Poales; Bromeliaceae. The record is from RNAcentral.
ACUCCCCUGCAUAGUACCGAUACUCAAUAUUGAAACCUGCACUUUGCAGACUUCAAUAUCAAACUCUGCUCUCGGGUCGCACUGAGUCCGUUUUGCGUCCAUUUCGCGCCAAAACGACUCCGACUUGUCCCGACACUCUCCAGAUGUGUCGACAAGCCUCAGAUGCUGAGAUCUCACUGGCAACCAAACAUCAGGGAUACUACACUUUCUCUCCCCAUAUCUCUCCUUUUGUCCUAAUACAUCCCCCUUUCCCUCUUUUGCCAAUGCCUCUCUUUCUCCCCCCUCCUCGAUCUCUAUCCCUCUCUUCUCUCCCACACACUAUCCUCAGUGUGGCCAUCAUCUUCCCUAAUUGGAUAGUUGCGACGAGACUGGUAGCCAUGGAGAGGGUUACCUGUUGCUCGCGAUUGAUCUGGCCUACGCCAUCUAUGCAGGUAAGAUAGCUUCCACCUAGGGGUGCCCUAGCCCUUCUUUCCCUCUGUGAUCUGCUCUAGGCCUACCUCGGGAGGUAAGAUAGCUUACAGUUCAGAGUGCUCUGAACCCUCUAACCCUCACAAUUCCCUCCUCUCUCUCUUUCUCUUCUCUUCGUUCUUGUCUUGAUGCUAGCCUAGCCCUAUUUUCGAUUUAUUUUUUAAAAAAGUGUAUUUGGCUCAUUGUUUGGAUAUUUGGAGACACUACAAGAAGAAGGAAUUUUGGCGGCGACUUUUUCGUGGCGACAACUACUGUCGCCAUCAAUGUAGAAGAUAUAGUGGCGACAAAUAAAUGUCGCCACCAAUGUAGAAGAUAUGGUGGCGACAAAUAAAUGUUGCCACCAAUACAUAAACAAUGGUGGCAGUAUAUAAAUGUCGCCGCCAAUACAUCAACAAUGGUGGCGACAACUAUACAUCGCCACCAAUAUUAAUAAGGGAUAAUUGCCUAUAUACCCCUCAUACGUUUGAAAAUAUUCGAUUUACCCCUACUUUUUUUUUUCUUUCUAAAAUACCCCUCAUAUGUUUCACCGUUAUUGCAAAAUACCCCCGCAGUUAUCUCCUGUUAAGUUAACUUGGGUUAAACGUGAGUUAAAUAUCUACCACAAUAAAAAAAAAAAUUACAAUGUCAAUUUUGCCCUUAACUUAAGGACAAAUAAAAAAUGUUGGUGACGGUAGAGGGGUAUAUUGGAAAAGACCAAAAGUCAAAAUAGUUUUUGUACCCCUGACUUUAAGGGCAAAUAAAAAAGUCAGUGAUGGUGGAAGGGUAUAUUUGAAAGGGCAAAAUAGUAAUUUUACAAAGAUAAUAUAGUUAAUUAACAGAUUUUAACUCUAGAGGUAUAUUAGAAAUAUGUUGGAACGUAGAAAGGGUAUUUUUAAUAUUAGCCUUCUAAAAGGGGUAAAUCGAAAAGUCGGAAACUUUUCAGGGGUAUAUAAGCAAUUGCCCCUAU